RNAcentral lists this ribosomal RNA (301 nucleotides) under uncultured bacterium. RNAcentral describes it as "partial 16S ribosomal RNA". It matches the Rfam family "Bacterial small subunit ribosomal RNA", at positions 509 to 807 of the family's 1533-position model. The record is from RNAcentral.
CAGUCGCCACGGUAAUACGUAGGUGGCAAGCGUUGUCCGGAAUUAUUGGGCGUAAAGGGCUCGCAGGCGGUUUCUUAAGUCUGAUGUGAAAGCCCCCGGCUCAACCGGGGAGGGUCAUUGGAAACUGGGAAACUUGAGUGCAGAGGAGGAGAGUGGAAUUCCACGUGUAGCGGUGAAAUGCGUAGAGAUGUGGAGGAACACCAGUGGCGAAGGCGACUCUCUGGUCUGUAACUGACGCUGAGGAACGAAAGCGUGGGGAGCGAACAGGAUUAGAUACCCCGGUAGUCCCUGUCUCUUAUAC